Long non-coding RNA from Sapajus apella (tufted capuchin), 838 nucleotides. RefSeq lists it as uncharacterized. Lineage: Eukaryota; Metazoa; Chordata; Mammalia; Primates; Cebidae. The transcript is spliced from 2 exons. The record is from RefSeq and is a predicted model, not a curated record.
CCUAUGUGUUUCUAGGAAGACAUCAUUGGUUCCAUUUAUCUGAAAUUCCUAGGCUACCUUUGUUGAGUUUGCAGGAAUUAAUGGAACACACCACUUUUUAACCUUAAACUAACUUUUUAGAGUUAGGCUUCCUGAUAUGUUAAGUGUGUUGAGUAUACUUUCAUAAAUAGAAUUUGACUCAUAUUUCUCUCUCUGCCUAUUUAUUUCAAAAUUUGUUACCUAUUUGUGAAUAUUCUUAAUUCACAGCUAUGUGUUUGUUUGCAUACAGUUAAGCAGGACCCCUAAGGCUGCUCAGGGAGAAAGAAGUCAGAAGUCUGACAUGCAGGCAAAAGGAGACCAUCAAGCUUCAGAUGGUGAUGCAACGUGGCUUCCAGCCAGUUCCAAGUGAAGAGACUGCCCUGGUCAUCAAAGAACUACCCUGCCUCCACUAACCAGAGCAGGGCAAGUGUUCCAUGAUCCUCAGUUGAUAGGGACUACGCCCUAAGCCAGCAAGAAGUGGUUACAGAAGAAAGACCAUCUGUUCCUCUGCUUCCUAUAAAGAUUUAUGGGGUCACAUCUCUCAGGGGGGAAGUGAGGCAGGAGAAUAUGGUCUGGAGGCAGGGGACCUAAGGCCAAUUCACACUGACUUCCUAGAACUGAAUCAAAUGAAACACUUCAGCUAUGACAGGGAAUAUCCUAUUCAUUUGCACAGGGCGUACACCGAGUUAGCAAUGGAAACCUCUAGAGGGCAUUUAACCCCAGAAAAUUAUGUAAUGGGGUUCUUGAACCCUAUACCUGGGCCUGCUCCCACCCUGUGGGGUGUACUUUUAUUUUCAAUAAAUCCCUGCUUUUGUUGCUU